AGGCAUUGAGGGACCAGGGCACGGAUCCAUGAACUAGGCUACUUACCACGUUCGUAGACCCUGCCCUCCUCCCUCCAGCCU
MicroRNA precursor from Bos taurus (domestic cattle), 81 nucleotides. NCBI's taxonomy places the organism in Eukaryota, Metazoa, Chordata, Mammalia, Artiodactyla, Bovidae. The record is from Ensembl.